This 230-nucleotide unclassified non-coding RNA is filed under the name Hevea brasiliensis (rubber tree). The record is from RNAcentral. Lineage: Eukaryota; Viridiplantae; Streptophyta; Magnoliopsida; Malpighiales; Euphorbiaceae.
UUGAAGCCAGGAGUUGCUUUGAAACAUGCUAAAGAGGGAACCGAAAGUUCGGCAUUCUGGUUUGCACUUGGAGGCAAACAAAGUUACACCAGCAAAAAAGCUUCUCCAGAAAUUGCCAGAGAUCCCCACCUGUUCACUUUCUCAUUUAAUAAAGGAAAAUUUCAGGUUGAGGAAGUUUACAACUUUUCCCAAGAUGAUCUAUUGACUGAGGAUAUUUUGAUACUUGAUAC